UACGUAGGGUGCAAGCGUUGUCCGGAAUUAUUGGGCGUAAAGAGCUCGUAGGCGGUUUGUCGCGUCUGCUGUGAAAACUCGGGGCUUAACUCCGGGCCUGCAGUGGGUACGGGCAGACUAGAGUGCGGUAGGGGAGACUGGAAUUCCUGGUGUAGCGGUGAAAUGCGCAGAUAUCAGGAGGAACACCGGUGGCGAAGGCGGGUCUCUGGGCCGAUACUGACGCUGAGGAGCGAAAGCUAGGGGAGCAAACGGG
RNAcentral lists this ribosomal RNA (253 nucleotides) under uncultured bacterium. RNAcentral describes it as "partial 16S ribosomal RNA". It matches the Rfam family "Bacterial small subunit ribosomal RNA", at positions 524 to 776 of the family's 1533-position model. The record is from RNAcentral.